RNAcentral lists this ribosomal RNA (253 nucleotides) under uncultured bacterium. RNAcentral describes it as "partial 16S ribosomal RNA". It matches the Rfam family "Bacterial small subunit ribosomal RNA", at positions 524 to 776 of the family's 1533-position model. The record is from RNAcentral.
UACGGAGGGUGCGAGCGUUGUCCGGAUUCAUUGGGUUUAAAGGGAGCGUAGGUGGCCUUGUAAGUCAGUGGUGAAAUCCUGUCGCUUAACGAUAGAAUUGCCAUUGAUACUGCAGGGCUUGAGUACAGUUGCCGUUGGCGGAAUAUGACAUGUAGUGGUGAAAUACAUAGAUAUGUCAUAGAACACCGAUUGCGAAGGCAGCUGACGAAACUGUAACUGACACUGAGGCUCGAAAGUGUGGGGAUCAAACAGG